GUACUGACCUGGCAGGGGAGAUACCAUGGGCACAAAAGUGGUUUUCCCAGGGCGAGUCUUAUGCAGAUGUGCUGACCCUUGAGAUUUUCACAAAUAUGGGAAACUCAACUGCAUUAUUUGUGAUAAUGGUGGAUUGUGUUCAUGCUCUCCCCUG
RNAcentral lists this small nuclear RNA (154 nucleotides) under Octodon degus (degu). RNAcentral describes it as "U1 spliceosomal RNA (ENSODEG00000022427.1)". It matches the Rfam family "U1 spliceosomal RNA". From Rfam's summary of the family: U1 is a small nuclear RNA (snRNA) component of the spliceosome (involved in pre-mRNA splicing). Its 5' end forms complementary base pairs with the 5' splice junction, thus defining the 5' donor site of an intron. The record is from Rfam by way of RNAcentral. Lineage: Eukaryota; Metazoa; Chordata; Mammalia; Rodentia; Octodontidae.